This is a long non-coding RNA of Dromaius novaehollandiae (emu), 10063 nucleotides long. RefSeq lists it as uncharacterized. The transcript is spliced from 3 exons. NCBI's taxonomy places the organism in Eukaryota, Metazoa, Chordata, Aves, Casuariiformes, Dromaiidae. The record is from RefSeq and is a predicted model, not a curated record.
GCCCGGGCUGCCGUCGCGGAGCGGAGCGGAGUGGGGGCGGGGCCCGCCCGGCCACGCUGUGCCGCGCCGUUCCCUGCCGCGCCGUUCCCUGCCGCGCCGCGCCCGCCGGACAAUGGAAGGUGUCGGCCGCCGCCGCCUCCCGCCGCCGGUCGAGAGGGCGCCCGGGACCGCGCCCGGCUGCCCGGGACCGCGGGCCCCCGCGCCGUAGCGACGUGCGGCGGGGAGGGGCGGGGCGGGGCGGGGCGGGGAGGGGACGGUCCGAGCGCCGCGCGGGAGCCGCGGCGCGGGCCUCCCCUCGGCCGCUCGGUGCUGCGCGGGGCCGGCCGGCCGCCGCCGGAGGAGCGGCGACCGUUGGAUGGGGCAAGUAUUGCCGGCGCCGCCGUGCCCGAGCAGGGCGGGCGGCGGCGGGCGGCCGGGCGCGCCCUCGCCCUCGCCCUCGCCAGCGCCGCCGCCGCAGGGGGCCGCCCGCGGGGCCGCGGGAGGCGCGCGCUGAGCGGCGGAGCGCGCGGGCCCCUGUCGUUGGCCGCCGCAGCCCGGCGCGGAGCGGAGCGGAGCGGAGCGCGGCCCCUUCGCUCGGGAGCGCCGCGGCCGGCGACGGGGAGGCAGCGCGCGGAGGAGCCGCCCUGCUCUCGGGGCGCCGCCGGCCGGCGGGGCUGAAGCUCCCGAGGGCCCGAGUCCGGGCCCCGCCUCGGAGCCGGGGGGCUCUGCGCCCGACGAGACAAGGUGGCGCCGCCCGGUCCCCAGCGCAGCGUCGGCUUUGGAUGGUGGUCCUGGCGCUGGGUUCCUCGCUGGCUGCCGGGGCGUUUGAGAGCUAGGAGAGGGGCGUUUGGAUGCAGCCCUGGACGUCCGGGAUCUGUUCAGAGCGUGCACCAGAGCAGUCGCCGUCACACGCUUCGGUACGAAACUGUGAACGUUUGCUAAAACCGUGGACAGGGCGUGGAGGAUGUUGCCAGUGCCUAACAGACCAGUAACCUGCUUCUGACUCUGCUGGUUUUAAGCAGUUCGUAUGGUCACCUCCCCUAGAAGGCUCUUCUGCCACAAUUUUUUUAUCAUUACUCUUUUUUUGAUUAUAUAUUUUGUUUUGUUUUGUGGACUCACUUGCAACUUCAAAUAAAUUAUUUACCGUUAAGGCAAAAAACAGUCACAGUUGAGUCAUCUGAAGUUCUGAGACAGUAUUCAGCCUGGUUUUGGUGAGGUGUGGGAACCACUCACCCUCGGCAGAAGAGGUGUGCUCUGUAUUUAUACAAAACGAUUUAAGCAUCUUCAGAGUCGUCUAAGUGCUGGACCACGCUGCCUGGCUGUCUCCGAGUCAGCCGCUGGUCAGCGUUCUUGCGGGUGUCCUGGUCUUAGUCUGGCCAGGUAAAUGCUGCUGUGCAUCUGCAUGUUGUCCUUUGACUCCAGCUUGUGGGCAGUUUCUGUAUAGCGCCUGGCUCCUGGCUGCUGAACAGGCAUGCUUCGUGUCUCAGCAUCGUCUUCUGGUGGGGUUUCGGUUUUUGGUUUUUUUUUUUUUUUGAAACAUGCUGCUGAGCACUAGUCUAUCUAGUGCCGUCACAGAAGUACGGGAGAAGGCACAGCUGAGACUCCAGCCUGAGCUGCAGUAAGACAGCGGAACUCCAGCUGGCUCUGAGAAUGCAGAAGACAACGACCGGAUCUCGGGGUCAGUCCUCUAAUCCUGGAUGGUGUCAGCUUAUUUGCCUUGAGGCAGGCAGCGGUACAAAGGGGUCCAGGUCCUCCACCCUUUGCAGGCAGAUGCGCAAACGCGAUGAAGUACUCCUUCCAGACAUAGGACUGCUGGAGAGUGAGCACCACUGUGUGAGUGAAGGGUGGUGAUUUGAGCCGGUGCCCCCAGAACAGGAACAAUGCUGUUGCCGCCUCGCGUAGCUCAGAGAAGAGCGCGCCGUGUGUGAAGUAACGCAGUGUCUUUGGAGCGUGUGUUUAGAAGAUGGGGAGGGCUGCGUAGAAGCGAGCUGUCAAAGGUGGUAUGUGAAACGUUUGAGGUGUAAAUGAGUUCUGCAGCAUGGGCAUUUCCCCCAAACUUGGUGCUUGUUUUCCCCAUACCAUUUAGAGUGGUGACUGUCCUUGUUGGAAGUGAAAGCUGAGUGUCUUGUCUCCCACAGGUAGCAUCACGCGACCGAACGGCAGAGCGAACGGGGCAGCCGAGGUUACUCCAGUUCUGGGGUCAGCCAGCAGCUGCUACUGCCACAGUCUCUGCCAGUCUGCUUGAGCGGAGCCGAUGUGACCGUUUUGGAUUCUGCCAGACAAGACAUUUCUGAUGAAAUUCUGAUUAUGAAAUGCAUUUCUUUUGCCAGAUUUCCCAAAAUUACGGAGCCGGGCAUGCUGAUUGAAUGUAGAGUGUCCUUUGGUAGUUUUGCAGGAAAGUUAGGGCAGACAACUUACUAUAUGGCUGUUCAGGUGCUGUGAGAAAAAGAUUGAAAGCUAUUAUUUUUCAGUUGAUUUUUCAGACUCCCCCUUGUACCUGUGUAAUUACUUUCUUCUUAAGGAAGGCAAGUAAGUUAAUGGUGUUAGGAGCUUGUAAGUCGUUCUGAAGUGCUCCAGGAUUACAUUGCAGGGUAGGUCUUUCUAGAUGGGCUCAGAUCAGAAGAGCAGUGGGAUCCUCGUGUACCUUUCAGCCAGUUUUCAUGCACUGAAGAACAAGUAGAAGACACCCCGAUAAAGCUCUGAAAGUUCCUUGUCUGAACACACAGGCUCUGGUGUGUCUUCUGCAAGAGUCCCUUUCCUCAUUUGUAAGGGCUCUGGUCCCAGGGGCAGCAGGGGCUUGCAGAAGAAGGUAAUGUGUGACAUACGCUGAAUCGGUCGUUGUAUCGGUCAUUCUCCUGAUGUUUCUCACUGUGGAAAACUGCCACCAGGUCUGUUGUUCAGGAACUAUUCUCAGACCUUUAGAAUUAGAUGCUGUGGUAGGGAGCUGAUUCUUUUUUUUUUUUUAUUUAUUUUUUUGGUCUCAGUGCACUAUAUGUCUUAGAGCUUUGCUUUGGGUGGGACGUGCCCACCUGACCCAGUGGCCUCCAAAAUAUCACUAUGAUGGGGGAAAACAGCCUGGCCUGACAGGAACCCACAUGCGCCUUAAAACACUUCUUGUCUUUGGGAAGCAGAGAAAGUUUGAGAUAACAUGCCUGCGAGCUCUGUGCUCCCCAGAACGGGGGAAUACAUCCCGGUGUGAAUGGGGCAUGUUCAUGUGUUUGUACGUCCCUGAGGAGAGCUGCUGUGACCUAUUCCCGGUUACCAGUAACCCGUGAUCUUCAGGUUACGCGCGCUCUCAGGAGAGCUGCGGAACAGAGAGUGAUCCAUAAAGUUCCCCGUAUAUUUUCUGGGUGUUAAAUUAUUUCAUUCCCUUAAGAUGUUCCAUUGUUUCCUGUUAUCCAGGUUCCCUUCACGGAGAGUUUUACCUGCAUCUUAAUUUGUGCACAGUGUUGUGUAGUUGUUACUGUAUAAACAGAAGCUGUGAUCGGUUUUUGUAACGUUUUCUGAAGUUGGGGCUUUCUUCAGCGGCAGAGACAUUAAGCAGAGAACAUGACAUUAUUCGUUCCAGUAGCUCCUCUUGUAACAAAAGCAAACAAGUCGCAGUCACAUACUUCUCUGUAAAUCUGAUUUUUAACUGAACUUGUGUGUCCGUGAGCAGUCGCAUCCAGUAUAUAAUCAUGCAUGUUUCCUGUAGUAACUGUUACCUGCUUGCAUGGGGGAAAAAAGAUGAGGAAGUAUUUUGAAGUGCUGCAUACUGUAGUAAGGAGUUGUCACAAGCUCUUAGCAGGCACUGUAAGUUUCCCAGUAAAAGUGCUUUUACAAUCACAAGCAAAAUUAUAUGUAGUUUAAAUUAAAUCUGUUUAGGUUUUUACUGGGGAAUUUCUGAUCUGCUUCACUGAAGGACACUAGAGGAGAAAGCGGAGGUGUGGUUCCAUGCCACCUUUCUCUGGGGGUAAAACUGGAGUUAAAAGAACCGCUCCCUCUAAUUCCUCUGUUCGUUCCAUUUCCCAUUCCCUGUAUCUCCUGUGGUGGCUAGUAGAGUUGUUUGUACAGGUCUGCUCUACAUUAAUCAGUAAAGUGAUCUGUGCUUAAAAAAACCCACCGUCAAACAGUUUAAACCAGUCCUGCCAAAAGAAACUAACAGAGAUCCCUAUCCUGGUUCACUCGGUGUCAGCAUUGCACAUAUACCCUCCGUAGCUCUGUAAAAUGCUAACUGAUGUAAAUAAUCAUUCAUUCUUAAAAGACUUCUGCUGGAGUAGUUUUGCAUCUCCAGAAGUAUUUUAUUCGUAACUUGCUGUAAUUACUGUAAUUAGUAGUAAGCUUCCUGUGAACACACAUUACAAAGAAGCUCAUUCUAGAUUCAAAGGAUGGUUCAGAUUUUAGGGAAAUGAAAAAGAGAUUUGAUUUCUCUGGAUUCAAACUAAUUUCUUAGUACAGGUCAAAAUCUGGUCAAGCAGCUCUUCCCAUUCUCUCCCUGCUGAAAGAGUUAAGUUCCUUUCAGACUCUUUGCACUGUGGAAUGGCCCAGCCCUGACACAGCUCUGGGGAAAAAAAAAAGUUUUCUUUUCUUUUCUUAUGGACCCUGCCAAGAAAUAUCACCACAAAGAGUUUUUCUGCAUUUCCUAAGUUUGCUUUUGAGUCCAUGGACUAACUUGUCACUCCCCUGUGAAAAGCUCAGCCUUGUGAGGGCUGAAUGCCUUAGAAUUCCCACUAAAGACAGGAGAAGUAAAAAUGGGCUUGUGAGUGGUGGAAUAGAUCCCCUAAGUUAAUACAUGAUCCAAAGGGUUGCAUUUGGGGACUACGGAGUUUCACAGAAUGCACAGGGGAAAGGAGUGAAAUGCAUGAGUUGAUGCAUGUGUGGAGCUCCUUCAGGUAGCCCCUUCGGAUCUCAAAAGCUUCAAAAUUUCCAUCAGAUCAAAGCAGUUGCUUGUGGAAAACUUCUGUAAGACCAGACUUUCUCUUCCUUUGCUUUAGUUCAGUCUCUCCAUGGAAUAGGCCCUUGCUGGCUAGAGCCACCACUCUUUCUGUAACGUUAAGGAAUAAUGGCGAGAGAUCAUUUUGAAUGAUUUUUAUGUUAAAUUUGAAAAAGAAGGAUUUCCAGAAAAGAUAAAAGGUCCAGAAUGUUUUCUGUUGGUUAUGAGGCAUCUCAGAGAUACAGAAAUAUAGUUGUUUUCACCAUCUUUGGUGGAGGCAGCCUUUAAGAAUGGUUUUGGAAGCCCACAAAGCCUGUGAAGUUUAGAUUUCAAAUUAUUCCACACUGACAAAACAUGUACAGGACUUUGUAUCCUGCCCUAGGUCUAAAAGAAGGGUGUUGAAACAGAUGGAAGUAUGUGACAAAAGAGAACUUGGUUAAGGCACAGAUGUCACUGACAGAAGGCAUGGAGAGAACACCGGGAUUUUGUUUGUUUGUUUUUAUUGUUUUAUUGGGGGUUUUUUUGAGGAGUGUCAGCAAUAGUGAGAGAGCAUCUUUAAAGAAUGUGUCAACUGUUGUUUCUUAAACAGUAUUAUAAUGUCUCUUCAAAUGUAUCAGUAACAGAAAAACUCAGGUUUGACUCGCAAAAGAUUCUGAAAUUUGAUUAGCAAAAGCAAAGUCCUUACAGAAAUCCCUAAACAUGUGGAUAUGCUUGUACCCACAUGCAUCUUUGCUGCAUUCGGGAGUUAGGGUGUUUCCAGUGCAAGAAAUCGUGCUAAGCGUGAGCAGUUUAGAUUACCCGUAUAAUGUAGCAUAAGCAAAGCUGAUUUUCACAACUUGAUUUGUAUGCUGUUGAGUCUUUGUCUGCAGUGCCCUGUGACAUGCUUGUCACCCGAUCCUGUGUUGACUAUAGAAGAUAAGAACGUGGAAGCUGUGUUCUUGUAACUUCGUUGCCUGCCAAGUAGGUGGUCUACACAAGCUCCUGAAGCGAUGAAGACAGAAAAGACUUUGACUAGCAAAAUAUAAGAUAAUAAGGGAAAAAUGGUCUUGGACUUCUCAGGGCGAUACCUGCAAUGUUCAACCCUAUAACCCUGAUAGCACAUAUCUUCAUUAUUGCAAGGGAAAUUGUAUAACUUCAACCUUUUUCUUUUUUAAUUUGUGCUUCAUUUUCGUCUCGUUUUGUUGUUUGGGUUUUGACAGCAAUGCUUUUUUGGCAGUUAGGGUUUUCAUAGGAGAACACUUUGGUGUACGUGACGCCAAAGGAAUUUAUUACAGAAACACCGUAUGUGAAGAAUUUUGCCAUUUCUGUCAGUUACGGCUUUGUUUUAGCUGCUCAGAUGGCAAGUUUAAUCACAUGGAAAAAUGGCAGCGUAGAGAUACUUUCUCUGUCAGUGCACCGCUUAACAUGUUUGCUGCUUGGAGCUUUCUAAUACCUGCUAGACACUGAAGAGGCUCCAUUGCUCCCUUCACUGUAUGCUGGAGAAUUAGAGCUCCAGAAUGUUUAAUUCCACUUCCCUUUUUACCAGCGUCUCUCUGACCUGCCUGUAGACUGAGCAGCAGUUUGCAACCACCUAUAAAAAACACCAGUGUUUUUGUAAGGUGCUGAAGGGUACGGGUGUAAGACUGCAGUGAGUUUCUAGUGUCUGUCCUUCGGACGCCUGUUAAGUCAAACAGAUACUUUGUGUUGCCGGCAGACUGGUAGUCCUGUCCUAAAUACUUCUCAGGAGCACUGUCCAAGUGCCUGAACAGGAAUACUUGGGAGGACUGGAUGCUGUUUCAGAUUGUCUUCUGUUUCCUGAGAAAAGUUCCCGUCUUCUCUUUCUUUGUUUCCGUGUUCUCGCGUGGGGAUGGCGAUACUGACAGGCCUCCCCUUUAGCACCUUUGAUCCUCUGCUGAGAAGUGUCCAGGAAGUGCUCAGUUGUCAGCUGCUCCAUCAGGAAAGACGGGGGCCUCACGCAUUAAAGCCAACAGAGGCUACAUCCUUAAAGAAGAGUCUGGAAAACUGACACAAGCGUGGGGUCCCCCCUUUCUGUUCCACAGCACUUUCAGUUAGAAAAAAGAAGGAAAAAAAAAAGUAAUCUUCACAAUGUAAUUUUGUACCUAACUGGAAUUAUUUUCUCCUGCUGCUUCUGACUGUACAGAAUAAUUAUUCUCUUUUGACAAUUACAUGGAACGAGUCCCUGCAGUAAGGAAGCAUUAUAAAAGCCUGGGGCUUAUUGCCCUAUAGUAACAGUUUGACAUAAAUUUCUUCUUAUUUUUAAAAAGGUGCAACUUUCCUCCAGUCGUGAUUGGAAACUCAGAUGUGAUACCUGGUGUGUGUUCCUUCUCUUAGCUGCUAAUAAAAUAAAGUGCUGGCAGUCCAGCUAGACAGGGCAUUAAAUGUGUAAACUGAUAUGCCAUUAGCCUCUGCGGCAGACGUGGCUGCUUCUCCCGUUGGGUGAGUCGCCGUGGCUGUUUGACACGGGCUUGUGGUGGGAGGGGUUGGCUUGGUGACGCCAGGUCGCUGUCGGUCUCUGCAGCAUACGUGCUCCGCAUGGUGACGGGGAGGGAGGAGGCAGUGACAUGGACUGCACUGCAGCACACUGCAGCACUGCCGGAACAAAGACUCGCUGGGAAAACACAGCUUCUGUUGGGGCUGUGUGCCGACCGCAGUUGAGACAGGGCGUUGAGACUGCCUCUGCUUUAUGACAGGCUGUUUCCUCAUGUAACUGUCAGCUGCUUUCCCAGAGGCUCUGCAGUUAACAGAACAGCUGAACUAUUAAUAACGAACUAAUAAUAAAUGUUAGUGUUUUGGACUAGGCAAGAGAAGACAGCAGUGAGUUCAUCUCUGAAAUGGGGCUAGAGGUGGGUAGCUGGUCACACUCCUUUGCCCUAGGUCUCGAGCAAUUGGGGUGGGAUAUUGAAUUCCAGCCCCUUUGGAGCUGCCCGGGAAGGAGCUGUCUGAGCUCUGCACCCACUGUCAAAGCGUGGCAGCUUUUGGGGGAGAGGGCAUGCAUGUAGCCAGUGGACCUGAGCUGUCUCUUGUCAGUGCUCUGCACAUGGUCACAUAUGCCAAGAGAUUGAUGUGUCUCUAAUACUCUCUAACGCAAGUUGUGUCUUCCUGGGUGUAGUAUGUUGGAUGCUUUGUCUAUCAAGCGGAAGGUCAGCAGGUGAAACAGCUGCCAUCUCCCUGACAAAUGGUUAAGUAAAAAAGGUUUUGCUGCAUUUUAAAUGGUGUGAGUGUUCUUCCUAUGAUUGUACAUUGCAGAAACAGUGCAGUCAGUGUGAGAUAGUUGAUGCCUGAUGUUUGGUCCAAGGAGAACCUAACACAGUGGGUCUAGCAUGUGGGAGCUGUUCUUCAGUGUUGACUAUGUUUAGUUUUACUCCAGCUUUAUGCACCAUGGCACUACUGGAAGCAAGCAACAAACUUGUUGAGGAGCAAGUACUCCUGCAACAUCCCAGGAAAGACUCUGCAUGAAACCAGGUUACUCAGAGAAGACUUUCUCUUUUAAAACCUGAUCAGUUCAUUUUCAUGCACAGAUUCCCGUUACUGUCAGCAGGCUUUGUUUUUGGAGUUACUGCUGCUCUGCACUACCACAUCAUGUCCAUGGGUACAAGAAACCAGCCAGGAUGAGGGCUGUCUUCCCAGCAGUUUAUUAUAUUCACUGUUAGCAUGAUAGCAAGAUGCAUGGAAUCCUCCCUAUCCAAGAAAUUAUUCUGUAGCAUGAUUUAGUGUGGAUUAGGAAGAAAUUAUCUCUGAUCCCUGCAGUUGUAAUGGAGAUACGUAAUGUCCGUGGAGGGUGUCCUAGGCUCUGUAGCUAAUGCAGGAAGAUCUUCCAGACAUCCGGCCUCCCACCCCACAGGUGCCCUCACAUCAACGGCCUGAAGCUUCUCCUUGGGGAUCACAAGACAAAAAGUGUUUGCUGCCACUCAAACUGCAUUGACUCAGCCUGCACACAAAAGGAUUGACUGGGUUUAUCUCUACAGUCUCAGGUUUAGCAGUGUCCUAUUAUUAGCCUAUCUAAAUAUCUCUGCUUCACAGUUCAGGCUCUUAACGCUAGACUACAGUGCAAGGAGAAGAAAAAAACAACGUUGCCUCCUAACUUCUGCAGAGACUAGAGGGCUCACUGAUUGUACUACUUUUCAGAGGGAUGUUACUGAGUUAUCAGUGCCCAUACUCUGUGAUUUCAGGCAGUCCUGUUUCAGGCACUUGGCUGAAGUUGUUUUCCAAGAAAUGGAGUCUGUCAGAUCUGGGAAGGAGCAAGUACCUCUUUAAAGGCUCCUUGUCCCAAGCAUAGAAGGAAGCAAAGCAGUCUUUUUCCUCCAGGUACCUUUAUUACACAGUUUCGGGAGACAAGCCAAGCUGAAUUCAGGUCUCCUAAAAAAGUGGGGGGAUUAGAUAAUACUUGACUCUAAAAUCUAGAGUAUUUUGACAGAUGUGAUCCUACUGAAACCCUUUCUGAAUGGUUAUGUUUGCUUAGGGCUUACUCUCACUUCUGUUUUCAAAGAAGUUGCAUUAUCCCAAUCCGUUAUUGUGUGGAUACAGCUAGAAUCACAAAGGGAGAUGUAAAGGAAAAUGUGACUUUUAACAGCUUAGAUCUGAGAGGGCAGUACGACUAGAAGGCAGUCACCUGGGGAGAAGGGUCUUCUGACAGGGAAGUACAGGAACUGGGGAGGGAAGAAGUGGUGGGGAGGGGGCAUGUCGGAAUCUCUCCUCUGUAUCUGUUACUCGCAAUGGUUCUGUUUUAGGUGGAUCACCAGCUGUCUGAAAGGAGCAUUUGACUUGCAAGAAGUGCGAAGAAGUAGUAGGAUAGCCUUCACUUUAGCGGUGUGGAAGGGAUCCAUCUUCUGCCUGGCAAACGGGGGUGUGCUGCUGUAGGAUGCAGACACCCAGAUGGAUGUCCAGAAUUCAUUUGUGUUUUUCCAAACUCUCCAGCUUUGUCAAAUUUGUCGUGGGGGAUUGUGGUUUCGAUUUUUCCUUCUCUUUCCUUUACAGCAAUUUUCUAGGAUUUCAAAUUCCUGCAGCAGCACUUUGAAAGUGGCAGGAUGCUGCAGGGCAGCUCUGUUCCUAUGCAUUACCAAGUAGAGCAAAUCUUUUGCAUGAUUUCCAGGACUGUCGUUUGUGGCUUUCUGCAGUAGGCUGCCAAAAACAGAGCUUGCUUUCCAUGGAAAUAUCCUGAUUCUGCCUUUCUUC